RNAcentral lists this ribosomal RNA (397 nucleotides) under uncultured bacterium. Its description in RNAcentral is "partial 16S ribosomal RNA". It matches the Rfam family "Bacterial small subunit ribosomal RNA", at positions 523 to 918 of the family's 1533-position model. The record is from RNAcentral.
AUACGUAGGGGGCGAGCGUUGUCCGGAAUGAUUGGGCGUAAAGGGCGCGUAGGCGGCCCGGUAAGUCUGGAGUGAAAGUCCUGUUUUUAAGAUGGGAAUUGCUUUGGAUACUGUCGGGCUUGAGUGCAGGAGAGGUAAGUGGAAUUCCCAGUGUAGCGGUGAAAUGCGUAGAGAUUGGGAGGAACACCAGUGGCGAAGGCGACUUACUGGACUGUAACUGACGCUGAGGCGCGAAAGUGUGGGGAGCAAACAGGAUUAGAUACCCUGGUAGUCCACACUGUAAACGAUGAAUGCUAGGUGUAGGGGGUAUCGACCCCUUCUGUGCCGCAGUCAACACAAUAAGCACUCCGCCUGGGGAGUACGGCCGCGAGGUUGAAACUUAAAGGAAUUGGCGGGG